This 253-nucleotide ribosomal RNA is filed under the name uncultured bacterium. RNAcentral describes it as "partial 16S ribosomal RNA". It matches the Rfam family "Bacterial small subunit ribosomal RNA", at positions 524 to 776 of the family's 1533-position model. The record is from RNAcentral.
UACGAGAGGCGCAAACGUUAUUCGGAAUUACUGGGCUUAAAGAGUUCGUAGGCGGCGCGGAAAGUAGGGUGUGAAAGCCCUCGGCUUAACCGAGGAAUUGCGCCCUAAACUGCCGUGCUUGAGGAACCUAGAGGUGAGCAGAACAGAUGGUGGAGCGGUGAAAUGCGUUGAUAUCAUCUGGAAUACCGGAGGCGAAGGCGGCUCACUGGGGGUUUUCUGACGCUGAGGAACGAAAGCCAGGGGAGCGAACGGG